CUUUCCACAUUUCAAGUAACCUAUUAACAACAUUGAGUAAGGUUAACUGCACUUAUUAUACCAUAUUUUUAUAAGAGAUUCAUGGUCAAUAAACUUAAUCCAAGUGGUAGUUGCAGACAAGCAGCAUCAGGAGUCACCUACAUUCUUGAGAUUUUCACACAAUCCAUUGUAGACCCAACAUGUAAACAUAUAGAAUAAGCUUGCAAAAUAAAUACGUUCAUGCAUAUUUCUGUUUUAAGUCUAUGAUAAA
This 250-nucleotide unclassified non-coding RNA is filed under the name Hevea brasiliensis (rubber tree). Lineage: Eukaryota; Viridiplantae; Streptophyta; Magnoliopsida; Malpighiales; Euphorbiaceae. The record is from RNAcentral.